GAUGAACGCUGGCGGCGUGCCUAAUACAUGCAAGUCGAGCGAAGCGGGGACGGGUGAGUAACACGUGGAUAACCUCCUAUAAGACUGGGAUAACUUCGGGAAACCGGAGCUAAACCGGAUACUUAUUUAUGGAUCCGCGCUGCAUUAGCUAUUUGGUAAGGUAACGGCUUACCAAGGCAACGAUGCAUAGCCGACCUGAAAGGGAGAUCGGCAACACUGGAACUGGGUCACGGUCCAGACUCCUACGAGGGGCAGCAGUAGGGAAUCUUCCGCAAUGGGCGAAAGCCUGACGGAGAAAAGCCGCGUGAGUAAUGAAGGUCUUCGGAUCGUAAAACUCUGUUAUUAGGGAAGCGGUAACUAAGCAGAAAGCCACGGCUAACUACGUGCCAGCAGCCGCGGUAAUAC
Molecule: ribosomal RNA, 405 nt
Filed under: uncultured bacterium
Lineage: Bacteria
Description: partial 16S ribosomal RNA
Rfam family: Bacterial small subunit ribosomal RNA
Source: RNAcentral